ACUAGCUGCGAGGCACCUCGGGGCCAACCUCCCACCCGUGUUGCCCGAACCUAUGUUGCCUCGGCGGGCCCCGCGCCCGCCGACGGCCCCCCUGAACGCUGUCUGAAGUUGCAGUCUGAGACCUAUAACGAAAUUAGUUAAAACUUUCAACAACGGAUCUCUUGGUUCCGGCAUCGAUGAAGAACGCAGCGAAAUGCGAUAACUAAUGUGAAUUGCAGAAUUCAGUGAAUCAUCGAGUCUUUGAACGCACAUUGCGCCCUCUGGUAUUCCGGAGGGCAUGCCUGUCCGAGCGUCAUUGCUGCCCUCAAGCCCGGCUUGUGUGUUGGGCCCCGUCCCCCCCGCCGGGGGGACGGGCCCGAAAGGCAGCGGCGGCACCGCGUCCGGUCCUCGAGCGUAUGGGGCUUCGUCACCCGCUCUAGUAGGCCCGGCCGGCGCCAGCCGACCCCCAACCUUUAAUUAUCUCAGGUUGACCUCGGAUCAGGUAGGGAUACCCGCUGAACUUAAGCAUAUCA
RNAcentral lists this ribosomal RNA (512 nucleotides) under Penicillium citrinum. Its description in RNAcentral is "eukaryotic LSU rRNA". The stretch from base 142 to 295 matches the Rfam family "5.8S ribosomal RNA". Lineage: Eukaryota; Fungi; Ascomycota; Eurotiomycetes; Eurotiales; Aspergillaceae. The record is from RNAcentral.